CAAGCAGCUUUUUAGAAAAGACGU
This 24-nucleotide non-coding RNA is filed under the name Arabidopsis thaliana (thale cress). The record is from RNAcentral. Lineage: Eukaryota; Viridiplantae; Streptophyta; Magnoliopsida; Brassicales; Brassicaceae.